UACGUAGGGUGCGAGCGUUGUCCGGAAUUACUGGGCGUAAAGAGCUCGUAGGUGGUUUGUCGCGUUGUUCGUGAAAACUCACAGCUCAACUGUGGGCGUGCGGGCGAUACGGGCAGACUGGAGUACUGCAGGGGAGACUGGAAUUCCGGGUGUAGUGGUGAAAUGCGUAGAUAUCCGGAGGAACACCAGUGGCGAAGGCGACUUUCUGGCCUGUUCUUGACGCUGAGGCGCGAAAGCUAGGGGAGCAAACGGG
RNAcentral lists this ribosomal RNA (253 nucleotides) under uncultured bacterium. RNAcentral describes it as "partial 16S ribosomal RNA". It matches the Rfam family "Bacterial small subunit ribosomal RNA", at positions 524 to 776 of the family's 1533-position model. The record is from RNAcentral.